This 254-nucleotide ribosomal RNA is filed under the name uncultured bacterium. RNAcentral describes it as "partial 16S ribosomal RNA". It matches the Rfam family "Bacterial small subunit ribosomal RNA", at positions 524 to 776 of the family's 1533-position model. The record is from RNAcentral.
UACGGAGGGUGCGAGCGUUGUCCGGAAUCAUUGGGCGUAAAGGGCGCGUAGGUGGCCCGGUGAGUCUUUGGUGAAAGCGCGGGGCUCAACCCUGCGUCGGCCAGGGAUACUGCCGCGGCUCGAGCACUGUAGAGGCAGGCGGAAUUCCGGGUGUAGCGGUGGAAUGCGUAGAGAUCCGGAAGAACACCGGUGGCGAAUGCGGCCUGCUGGGCAGUGGCUGACGCUGAGGCGCGACAGCGUGGGGAGCAAACAGG